GCAUACCUUUUAAAUGCCAAACAAGCCCAGCAUCAGCAGCACAUAAAGAAAUAUUUGAAAGGCUCUGGAGGGAAGCCAAGAGGACGUGGCUAAUGUUUCACCUAACCUCACCCCCUCGCUGGCUGGCUGGCUCUGCCCGGCAGCCCUGCCUGUGUGACGUGAGCCUCCGAGCUCUGGCAGGCAGCUGCUCCUUGACUGCCUGCACUGUCUGCCCGGCUGGCAGCAGGACAAGGGAAACAAAGAGGCUGAAAACAUAAAGUAGCGAGAGAUUAGGAGCGGCGUGGCCGGGAGGGCAGCACGCCCUCCCUCAGGGCAGGGACGGGUUUGGAGUCCGGGCCUCUCCUGGCGGGCACCCACCCACAGAGCCACUGGGCUGGGCCUCACCUUUCCCUCCAGGAGGGUCCAGCACUGAGGAGACACAAAAUGAGGUUCUUUCACAACAGGCUGCUCUGCACAGUCAAAAAGAAAACAGAAUGAGCUCUGACCCUUGGACUGCCUCUGCCAAUCAGACUCACUGAAUACACCAGUCAUCAGCAUCAGAGAAGGAGAAAAAAUACUCAGGAACUCACACCUAUCCCAUCUGCCAGCAGGCAGCAGAGGACACAGGAAAGACAUGCAUGGAAUGAGUGCUGGCUGGGGUGGAUGCAGAGGCCAGAGGGAUGACCCGGAGAGCUCAGCAGAUCUCUUGGGAACACCUAGGGAACUCCCUUGUCCCACCACCUACACAGCACUACUAAGUACAGGACAUGCUUCUGGAUCACACUGAAACUCCCCGGAACUCCCUUUCCACUGACACAUGCACUCAUACAAAUAAAACAAUAGCACAGGAUAAAUCCUACUUUCUUUUUUACUCAAAUAAAUCCAACACAACACUGUUGGUUUCAGGAGGGGAGCUUACAUUUCUGCAUCUUCCCACUUCCAGAAGAAAAUUCUCUACUUAAGUAGGGAGCAGGGAAUACCAGAUGUGGCUGGAGCGAUGCGAUUAAUGAGUAGCUGAUGUGCAACACCAUGAGAGGAAAAUUUGUGGAGGGGUUGAAAAGGUAACAAUCAUUUGGGGAGGGGGGAAAUAAAAUAUUAUAUUUCACUCCAUUAAUAGUUUGAAAAAUAAAUGUAACUAAAUGCAACCUCAAUUACUUCCUUUAAAAAGGCCCAAAAUAUUAAUACCGAAAAGAAAGAGUUAUUUUAACAAUUUUUUAAAUAAUUCUUAAGUCUAUUCACUGAAUUCAGUACAAUUUUCUCAAUAUUUUCAGUCAAGUCAAGACUGCAUUUUGGUCUUACUACAUAAAUCUGAAAAAAACCCACAUUAAUCUGGAAAAAAAAAUCCAAUUUUGUUUUGGACUUA
Pseudopipra pipra is the source of this 1342-nucleotide long non-coding RNA. RefSeq lists it as uncharacterized. The record is from RefSeq and is a predicted model, not a curated record. The transcript has 3 exons. Lineage: Eukaryota; Metazoa; Chordata; Aves; Passeriformes; Pipridae.